Molecule: ribosomal RNA, 440 nt
Filed under: uncultured bacterium
Lineage: Bacteria
Description: partial 16S ribosomal RNA
Rfam family: Bacterial small subunit ribosomal RNA
Source: RNAcentral
CCUACGGGUGGCAGCAGUGGGGAAUAUUGCACAAUGGGGGAAACCCUGAUGCAGCAACGCCGCGUGAAGGAAGACGGUUUUCGGAUUGUAAACUUCUGUUCUUAGUGAAGAAUAAUGAUGGUAGCUAAGGAGCAAGCCACGGCUAACUACGUGCCAGCAGCCGCGGUAAUACGUAGGUGGCAAGCGUUAUCCGGAUUUAUUGGGUUUAAAGGGUGCGUAGGCGGAUUUUUAAGUCAGCGGUAAAAUGUCCGGGCUCAACCCGGGCCGGCCGUUGAAACUGGGGAUCUUGAGUGGGCGAGAAGUAUGCGGAAUGCGUGGUGUAGCGGUGAAAUGCAUAGAUAUCACGCAGAACUCCGAUUGCGAAGGCAGCAUACCGGCGCCCGACUGACGCUGAGGCACGAAAGCGUGGGGAUCGAACAGGAUUAGAUACCCGGGUAGUC